CUUUGCUCCCUCGGGGUGAGGUGUGGUUUUGGCCAAAGAUGAGGUGUUUUGGUAGCCCUGUGGAUGCUGUGUGGUGUCUGGAAUGGGGCGUGUGUGUUCCCAACAUUCCCCUUCCCCUCUGCCUGCAGAGCUGAGGACGGACAGGUCUGAGGAGCAGAGCAGGAGCUCUGGGAAGGAGAAGAGUAAUAUGAAGAUGGAGUCUAAGAUGAGGCCAGGUGAAUUCUGUGGAGGGAGACAUGCUGGACAGCGCCAAGGAUUGGUGAGACAACCAGCAAGGGAAAAGAAGUGGGGGAGACGGAGUCCAGCCCUGAGGUGAGAUGGAAAGUGAUCGAGAGCAGUGACAGCGUGAAUCCUGUUGAUGCCAGGCAAGAGCUGCCCAACUGGAACAAGAGUAACCAUCUCUGUCGAAAUAUGUUAUGAGGUUGGGAAAUGCCCCCCACCAGCCUUUCAGGUGCAAAAAUGGAGGAGCCAGACUUACUGCUGGCCCAUUAAAGGUGGCUACAGUCCCAAGGACUAUCCCAGGAACCUUGUACAAUGCAGACUUCACCGAGAUAACACAGCA
Molecule: long non-coding RNA, 562 nt
Organism: Gopherus flavomarginatus (Mexican gopher tortoise)
Lineage: Eukaryota; Metazoa; Chordata; Testudines; Testudinidae
Exons: 4
Source: RefSeq, a predicted model, not a curated record